This 1265-nucleotide ribosomal RNA is filed under the name Salmonella enterica subsp. enterica serovar Enteritidis. RNAcentral describes it as "partial 23S ribosomal RNA". It matches the Rfam family "Bacterial large subunit ribosomal RNA", at positions 1292 to 2540 of the family's 2925-position model. Lineage: Bacteria; Pseudomonadati; Pseudomonadota; Gammaproteobacteria; Enterobacterales; Enterobacteriaceae. The record is from RNAcentral.
GAAUGCUGACAUAAGUAACGAUAAAGCGGGUGAAAAGCCCGCUCGCCGGAAGACCAAGGGUUCCUGUCCAACGUUAAUCGGGGCAGGGUGAGUCGACCCCUAAGGCGAGGCCGAAAGGCGUAGUCGAUGGGAAACGGGUUAAUAUUCCCGUACUUGGUGUUACUGCGAAGGGGGGACGGAGAAGGCUAUGUUGGCCGGGCGACGGUUGUCCCGGUUUAAGCGUGUAGGUGUGUGUUCCAGGUAAAUCCGGUUCACUUUAACACUGAGGCGUGACGACGAGGCACUACGGUGCUGAAGCAACAAAUGCCCUGCUUCCAGGAAAAGCCUCUAAGCAUCAGGUAACAUCAAAUCGUACCCCAAACCGACACAGGUGGUCAGGUAGAGAAUACCAAGGCGCUUGAGAGAACUCGGGUGAAGGAACUAGGCAAAAUGGUGCCGUAACUUCGGGAGAAGGCACGCUGACACGUAGGUGAAGUGAUUUACUCAUGGAGCUGAAGUCAGUCGAAGAUACCAGCUGGCUGCAACUGUUUAUUAAAAACACAGCACUGUGCAAACACGAAAGUGGACGUAUACGGUGUGACGCCUGCCCGGUGCCGGAAGGUUAAUUGAUGGGGUCAGCGCAAGCGAAGCUCCUGAUCGAAGCCCCGGUAAACGGCGGCCGUAACUAUAACGGUCCUAAGGUAGCGAAAUUCCUUGUCGGGUAAGUUCCGACCUGCACGAAUGGCGUAAUGAUGGCCAGGCUGUCUCCACCCGAGACUCAGUGAAAUUGAACUCGCUGUGAAGAUGCAGUGUACCCGCGGCAAGACGGAAAGACCCCGUGAACCUUUACUAUAGCUUGACACUGAACAUUGAGCCUUGAUGUGUAGGAUAGGUGGGAGGCUUUGAAGUGUGGACGCCAGUCUGCAUGGAGCCGACCUUGAAAUACCACCCUUUAAUGUUUGAUGUUCUAACGUGGACCCGUUACCCGGGUUGCGGACAGUGUCUGGUGGGUAGUUUGACUGGGGCGGUCUCCUCCUAAAGAGUAACGGAGGAGCACGAAGGUUGGCUAAUCCUGGUCGGACAUCAGGAGGUUAGUGCAAUGGCAUAAGCCAGCUUGACUGCGAGCGUGACGGCGCGAGCAGGUGCGAAAGCAGGUCAUAGUGAUCCGGUGGUUCUGAAUGGAAGGGCCAUCGCUCAACGGAUAAAAGGUACUCCGGGGAUAACAGGCUGAUACCGCCCAAGAGUUCAUAUCGACGGCGGUGUUUGGCACCUCGAUGUCGGCUCAU